GACCUCGUAGCUCAGCUGGUAGAGCGUGUGCCGUACGAAAAGCGUACGCAGUAUCUAUGCGUGGGUUCGAAUCCCACCGAGGCUA
RNAcentral lists this transfer RNA (85 nucleotides) under Echinostoma caproni. It matches the Rfam family "tRNA". From Rfam's summary of the family: Transfer RNA (tRNA) molecules are approximately 80 nucleotides in length. Their secondary structure includes four short double-helical elements and three loops (D, anti-codon, and T loops). Further hydrogen bonds mediate the characteristic L-shaped molecular structure. tRNAs have two regions of fundamental functional importance: the anti-codon, which is responsible for specific mRNA codon recognition, and the 3' end, to which the tRNAs corresponding amino acid is attached (by aminoacyl-tRNA synthetases). tRNAs cope with the degeneracy of the genetic code in two manners: having more than one tRNA (with a specific anti-codon) for a particular amino acid; and 'wobble' base-pairing, i.e. permitting non-standard base-pairing at the 3rd anti-codon position. The record is from Rfam by way of RNAcentral. Lineage: Eukaryota; Metazoa; Platyhelminthes; Trematoda; Plagiorchiida; Echinostomatidae.